GUGAAGAACGUAGCGAAAUGCGAUAAGUAAUGUGAAUUGCAGAAUUCAGUGAAUCAUCGAAUCUUUGAACGCACAUUGCGCCCGCCAGUAUUCUGGCGGGCAUGCCUGUCUGAGCGUCAUUUCAACCCUCAUGCCCCUAGGGCGUGGUGUUGGGGAUCGGCCAAAGCCCGCGAGGGACGGCCGGCCCCUAAAUCUAGUGGCGGACCCGUCGUGGCCUCCUCUGCGAAGUAGUGAUAUUCCGCAUCGGAGAGCGACGAGCCCCUGCCGUUAAACCCCCAACUUUCCAAGGUUGACCUCAGAUCAGGUAGGAAUACCCGCUGAACUUAAGCAUAUCAAUAAGCGGAGGA
This 347-nucleotide unclassified non-coding RNA is filed under the name soil metagenome. RNAcentral describes it as "partial contains 5.8S ribosomal RNA, internal transcribed spacer 2, and large subunit ribosomal RNA". The stretch from base 2 to 119 matches the Rfam family "5.8S ribosomal RNA", at positions 37 to 154 of the family's 154-position model. The record is from RNAcentral.